AGCAGCCGCGGUAAUUCCAGCUCCAAUAGCGUAUAUUAAAGUUGUUGCAGUUAAAAAGCUCGUAGUUGAAUUUCGGGGUUAGUAGGCUGGUCAUGCCACCGGUAUGUACUGGUCUUACUGAUUCCUCCUUCCUGAUGAACUGUAAUGCCAUUAAUUUGGUGUUGCAGGGAGUCUGGACUGUUACUUUGAAAAAUUAGAGUGUUUAAAGCAGGCUAACGCUUGAAUACAUUGGCAUGGAAUAAUGAAAUAGGACGUUCGAUCCUAUUUUGUUGGUUUCUAGGAUUGACGUAAUGAUUAAUAGGGAUAGUUGGGGGCAUUAGUAUUCAAUUGUCAGAGGUGAAAUUCUUGGAUUUAUUGAAGACUAACUACUGCGAAAGCAUUUGCCAAGGAUGUUUUCAUUAAUCAAGAACGAAAGUUAGGGGAUCGAAGACGAUCAGAUACCGUCGUAGU
RNAcentral lists this ribosomal RNA (450 nucleotides) under uncultured Glomus. RNAcentral's name for it is "SSU rRNA". It matches the Rfam family "Eukaryotic small subunit ribosomal RNA", at positions 569 to 1024 of the family's 1831-position model. The record is from RNAcentral. Lineage: Eukaryota; Fungi; Glomeromycota; Glomeromycetes; Glomerales; Glomeraceae.